GAUGAACGCUGGCGGUCUGCUUAACACAUGCAAGUCGAACGCAACCUUCGGGUUGAGUGGCGGACGGGUGAGUAACGCGUGAGAAUCUGCCUUGGGGUCGGGAACAACCACUGGAAACGGUGGCUAAUACCGGAUAAGCCUUUGGGUAAAAGAUUUAUUGCCCCAAGAGGAGCUCGCGUCUGAUUAGCUAGUUGGUGAGGUAAGAGCUCACCAAGGCAGCGAUCAGUAGCUGGUCUGAGAGGACGAUCAGCCACACUGGGACUGAGACACGGACCAGACUCCUACGGGAGGCAGCAGUGGGGAAUUUUCCGCAAUGGGCGAAAGCCUGACGGAGCAAGACCGCGUGAGGGAGGAAGGCUCUUGGGUAGUACAACUCCUUUCUCAGGGAAGAAGCUCUGACG
RNAcentral lists this ribosomal RNA (401 nucleotides) under uncultured cyanobacterium. Its description in RNAcentral is "bacterial SSU rRNA". It matches the Rfam family "Bacterial small subunit ribosomal RNA", at positions 28 to 458 of the family's 1533-position model. Lineage: Bacteria; Bacillati; Cyanobacteriota. The record is from RNAcentral.